UUCCACUAGGGGAGCAUUUGCUGAGAGGCCGUUCUGGCCGACCCUUGGAACCUGUCGGGGUAAUACCUGCGUAGGGAAGUGG
RNAcentral lists this non-coding RNA (82 nucleotides) under uncultured Selenomonas sp. RNAcentral describes it as "TPP riboswitch (THI element)". It matches the Rfam family "TPP riboswitch aptamer (THI element)", at positions 6 to 93 of the family's 105-position model. Rfam says of the family: Vitamin B(1) in its active form thiamin pyrophosphate (TPP) is an essential coenzyme that is synthesised by coupling of pyrimidine and thiazole moieties in bacteria. The previously detected thiamin-regulatory element, thi box was extended, resulting in a new, highly conserved RNA secondary structure, the THI element, which is widely distributed in eubacteria and also occurs in some archaea. Lineage: Bacteria; Bacillati; Bacillota; Negativicutes; Selenomonadales; Selenomonadaceae. The record is from RNAcentral.